Molecule: ribosomal RNA, 735 nt
Filed under: Stenotrophomonas maltophilia
Lineage: Bacteria; Pseudomonadati; Pseudomonadota; Gammaproteobacteria; Lysobacterales; Lysobacteraceae
Description: bacterial SSU rRNA
Rfam family: Bacterial small subunit ribosomal RNA
Source: RNAcentral
UGCAAGUCGAACGGCAGCACAGGAGAGCUUGCUCUCUGGGUGGCGAGUGGCGGACGGGUGAGGAAUACAUCGGAAUCUACUCUGUCGUGGGGGAUAACGUAGGGAAACUUACGCUAAUACCGCAUACGACCUACGGGUGAAAGCAGGGGAUCUUCGGACCUUGCGCGAUUGAAUGAGCCGAUGUCGGAUUAGCUAGUUGGCGGGGUAAAGGCCCACCAAGGCGACGAUCCGUAGCUGGUCUGAGAGGAUGAUCAGCCACACUGGAACUGAGACACGGUCCAGACUCCUACGGGAGGCAGCAGUGGGGAAUAUUGGACAAUGGGCGCAAGCCUGAUCCAGCCAUACCGCGUGGGUGAAGAAGGCCUUCGGGUUGUAAAGCCCUUUUGUUGGGAAAGAAAUCCAGCUGGCUAAUACCCGGUUGGGAUGACGGUACCCAAAGAAUAAGCACCGGCUAACUUCGUGCCAGCAGCCGCGGUAAUACGAAGGGUGCAAGCGUUACUCGGAAUUACUGGGCGUAAAGCGUGCGUAGGUGGUCGUUUAAGUCCGUUGUGAAAGCCCUGGGCUCAACCUGGGAACUGCAGUGGAUACUGGGCGACUAGAGUGUGGUAGAGGGUAGCGGAAUUCCUGGUGUAGCAGUGAAAUGCGUAGAGAUCAGGAGGAACAUCCAUGGCGAAGGCAGCUACCUGGACCAACACUGACACUGAGGCACGAAAGCGUGGGGAGCAAACAGGAUUA